Diabrotica virgifera virgifera (western corn rootworm) is the source of this 3082-nucleotide long non-coding RNA. RefSeq lists it as uncharacterized. The record is from RefSeq and is a predicted model, not a curated record. The transcript is spliced from 2 exons. Lineage: Eukaryota; Metazoa; Arthropoda; Insecta; Coleoptera; Chrysomelidae.
UCCCUAUCACUUAUCAUAUUUUUUUUUUUUUUUUUUCUUCCUAUUAUUUAUCAUAGUGCCAUAGACCUUGUAAGUUCACUAUUCAUUCUGUUUUCUUUCUUACUUAUUCUUAUAUUAGUACCUUAUCUGUGUCUGGUUAUUCUCAUAUAUCUGUUGUAGCAACAUGCUAUAGUUCGCGAAUACCAGCAUGAAUUAAGUUAUGUAUUUUCUAGAAUACUUUAGUCAAUACACUUUAGGUAUUUAUCUUACCUUUGAUUUAGUUUGGUUACAUCUCUGUUACUUAGUCUGUUAGUAAUUUUUUUCUGACUUAUUUUGGAUUACUUAGUUCAGAUAGGUUCAUAUUACCGGAUGAGGGUGUAUGUAGACCUAAUUUAUUUAUUUUGUUCAGUAUUAGUUACCAUUGGAUCCAAUAAUUUAGUUUAUUUAGUAUUAGUAAGAAUUGGUCCAUAAAUUUGCCUGAUCGUUCUUCUUUGGAUAUACUCCUAUAUAAAUCUGGUGUCCAUUGAUAGUCCGAUUCUGGAUAAGUGUCCGAUUCUUCAUUUAUUUUGUGUAUUUAGUUGGAUAGGUUCGUAUUACCGGAUGUGGGUGUACGUAGACCUGAUCUGUUAUGUGGUUUAGUAUUGGUGUGAAUUGGUCCAUAAAUUUGCCUGGUCGUUCUUCUUUGGAUAUGCCUUUUAUGAAUCUGGUGUCCACUGAUAGUUCGACUUUGGAUUAAGUGUCCGAUUCCACAUUUAUUUUGGUUAUUGAGUUUUGGAUUCCUUUGGUAUGUUUAUUAUUGGUAUUAUUUGACAUUAGUGAGAAUUGUUCCAUAAAUCUUCCUGAUUGUUCUUCUCUGGAUAUACUAUUAUGAAUCUGGUGUCCAUUGUUAGUUCAGUUUUGGAUAAAGUGUUCAAUUCUUUACCUAUUUUAGUUACUGAUUUUUUUUAUUCACUUUGGUACAUUUACUUUUGAUAUGGUUCGAAUUGGCUCACACCUUUUCCUGGUUGUUCCGUUCUUGGAUAUACCCUUUAUAAAUCUGAUGUCCAUGGAUAGUUCAAUUUUGGUUUUAGUGCCCAAUUCGACACUUAGUUAUUAUUAUGAACUUUAGUACAAUAUUUAGUUUUGUUUUGACUUUUGAGCAAUAUAUGUUAAUAUUUGGUAGCAGAGAGUAACAUAGUAACAUUUUAGUAUGAGUUUGAGUCAUGUAUUGAUUUAUUUUUCCUUGACCAUUAGUUUAUAUUUAGAAGUAAUCUUGCGAAUCAACGUGGAUUGUUAGACUAUUGUAAAUUUAGUUGUUAAUAUUUUGAAGUUUAAAAAAAAAAAUUUUUUUUGGUUAAAAAAAUUUUUUUCCCGAGUAGGAGGGGAUUGUAACGGUCCACCCGUUAUAUUAUCAUUUUUAGCGCUGUAAUUAUUUUUAAAAAAAUAAUUAUUUUCUCUUGACCUCCCAUUUAAAUUCUUUAAUUUAUCGUAAAGGACUUCUCAUGUGACGUCACACUGUACGGAACAUAGUUGUUGAACCGUUCCUUGUCGUUUAAUUCGUGUUCCGUGAGAGUUUGACGUUUUCCUCGCUGACUGUGGGAGGAAUGAGAGGCACUUGGCCGGUGGCUGCGAGGUUGACAGGUUGGUGUUGGUGGUUAGUACCGUAAAUGGCGGUUAAUUUCUUCGAAAUUAAUUUUUAUUUCAACUAAGUUUGGAAGUAUAGUAAAAAGUUACCACCACUUGUUUCCUGGAGUACGUGUUUCCUGGAGUAAGGAUGGGAGUACCAUCAGUGGAAGAGGAAUAAAAAAUUAACCGCCAUUUGGAAGAAAACUAACCCUCAUGUGAUGUCGUACCCACCUUGACUACCUAGGGAAGCCACCUUGACCUUAUUGCAGCUACCGCCAAGUCAAACUGGGAGUAUGUUUUGGGAACAAGCUUUUUGGGGGACAUUCCAGCUCCUUUUCGUCCUGCCACCUGGGCCUACGGGGGGGCAUGGAGGUGCAUCAUAGUGAUGCUCAUUUUCUAGGAUGCAACCGCAACCUCGUUUGGGAACAUUUAGUGAGGAGUUUUAGUAACUAUUGGUUUUUUUUAUAUUUCAGACUAUCUGUUAAAUACACUAUGUUUUUUUUCCAGAUUUAGGUUACCUCUGUUUUUUUCUGACAUAUGUAUUUGUAUAUUAGAUUAUUUGGUUCCCAAACUUUGUAUCUACGGUAACUUCUUGUGCACAGGAAUAAGCCUAGAGAAAAUUAGGUUUUUAAUACUUUAUUAUUGCUUUGAUAUUGGUUUAUGUAAUUCGGGUAAAUUUAUUUUGUAACAUUACUUGCUUGUUUCCCAAAUAUUGUAUUUAUUCGCUUUAUUUCGUUUGUUCGGUUACUUCGUCGUUACUUUAUUUCAUUGCAUUUGCUCGGUUAAUUUAGGUCAUUUUGUCGGUAUUUUUCUUAACUUCACUUCUAUAACGUUUAUUCAUUUGUAUAUUUAAUUUUGCUUUAUUCAGUAUUGUAUUUUCUCUUAGUGAGGCUUGGGCCUAUUUAUUUGUAUUAUUUUCAUCUUCGUCGGUUUCCUUUAGUUGUACGUAGCAGGCGUACUAUAACCAUUUGGUAGAAGACUUAUGUAAUUUUGUACCCUAUAUGUUAGUAAGAGGUACUUAUAUUUAAGUUUGUAACAGAUAACAUUAUUGUUGUUAUCUUUAAAAUAUAUAUAUCUUCUUGUAUAACUUAUGUCAUUUUAGAGUCACAGCAUAAUAUGAACUUGCUUAACUCAAAGAUUGUUAAAAAUCUGGUAGUUAUUUUUAAUAAAUAUGUUUAUUUAUUUUGUAUAUCAUUUAUUUUUAUUAUUCCUUUAUGUUCAUUAUUACAGGUUUGAUAUAUUUAAUAUCUGACAGCAGUAUAAGAUACCUGGGAGAAUGAUCGAAGAUCAUUUUCAUGGCGCCCAUGAUUUGUUAGAUUUAUUUAUCUUGUUCAUCUUUAGAAAUUAUUCAUCUUCAUUCCUCUUCAGUACAUUAUUCUUAUUUUAUUAUUUCAUAUUUUAGUCAUUAUUACUAUCUACAUAGAGCUACUGUUCUUCGACAGGCAUGCAAACGAGCCGUAUCCAUCCAUGAGUGUCAAGUGGUUUUCUUGCAUCUCUU